CCUACGGGGUGCAGCAGUGAGGAAUAUUGGUCAAUGGACGCGAGUCUGAACCAGCCAAGCCGCGUGAAGGAUGACUGCCCUAUGGGUUGUAAACUUCUUUUAUACAAGGAUAAACGCAGGGCCGCGUCUCUGUCUGUAUGUAUCGUACGAAUAAGGAUCGGCUAACUCCGUGCCAGCAGCCGCGGUAAUACGGAGGAUUCGAGCGUUAUCCGGAGUUAUUGGGUUUAAAGGGUGCGUAGGCGGUCGGUUAAGUGAGCGGUGAAAGUCUGUGGCUCAACUGUGGAAUUGCCGCUGAUACUGGGCGGCUUGAGUGUAUUUGAGGCAGGCGGAAUGCAUGGUGUAGCGGUGAAAUGCUUAGAGAUCACGCAGAACACCGAUUGCGAAGGCAGCUUGCCAAGCCAUGUCUGACGCUGAGGCACGAAAGCGUGGGGAGCAAACAGGAUUAGAUACCCGAGUAGUC
This 460-nucleotide ribosomal RNA is filed under the name uncultured bacterium. RNAcentral describes it as "partial 16S ribosomal RNA". It matches the Rfam family "Bacterial small subunit ribosomal RNA", at positions 338 to 795 of the family's 1533-position model. The record is from RNAcentral.